GAUGAACGCUGGCGGCGUGCCUAAUACAUGCAAGUCGAGCGAACAGACGAGGAGCUUGCUCCUCUGACGUUAGCGGCGGACGGGUGAGUAACACGUGGAUAACCUACCUCUAAUACUGGGAUAACUUCGUGAAACCGGAGCUAAUACCGGAUAAUAUAUUGAACCGCAUGGUUCAAUAGUGAAUGACGGUUUUGCUGUCACUUAUAGAUGAUUCCGCGCCGCAUUAGCUAGUUGGUAAGGUAACGGCUUACCAAGGCAACGAUGCGUAGCCGACCUGAGAGGAUGAUCGGCCACACUGGAACUGAGACACGGUCCAGACUCCUACGGGAGGCAGCAGUAGGGAAUCUUCCGCAAUGGGCGAAAGCCUGACGGAGCAACGCCGCGUGAGUGAUGAAGGUCUUCGGAUCGUAAAGCUCUGUUAUUAGGGAAGAACAAAUGUGUAAGUAACUAUGCACGUCUUGACGGUACCUAAUCAGAAAGCCACGGCUAACUACGUG
Molecule: ribosomal RNA, 497 nt
Filed under: uncultured bacterium
Lineage: Bacteria
Description: partial 16S ribosomal RNA
Rfam family: Bacterial small subunit ribosomal RNA
Source: RNAcentral